RNAcentral lists this transfer RNA (69 nucleotides) under Marmota marmota marmota (Alpine marmot). It matches the Rfam family "tRNA". From Rfam's summary of the family: Transfer RNA (tRNA) molecules are approximately 80 nucleotides in length. Their secondary structure includes four short double-helical elements and three loops (D, anti-codon, and T loops). Further hydrogen bonds mediate the characteristic L-shaped molecular structure. tRNAs have two regions of fundamental functional importance: the anti-codon, which is responsible for specific mRNA codon recognition, and the 3' end, to which the tRNAs corresponding amino acid is attached (by aminoacyl-tRNA synthetases). tRNAs cope with the degeneracy of the genetic code in two manners: having more than one tRNA (with a specific anti-codon) for a particular amino acid; and 'wobble' base-pairing, i.e. permitting non-standard base-pairing at the 3rd anti-codon position. RNAcentral also lists the same sequence under 1 other name. Lineage: Eukaryota; Metazoa; Chordata; Mammalia; Rodentia; Sciuridae. The record is from Rfam by way of RNAcentral.
GGUGUUGUGGCUCAGUGGUAGAGCACAAGCCUAGCAUGCAAGAGGCACUGGGUUCAAGUGUCAGCAUCA